This 359-nucleotide ribosomal RNA is filed under the name uncultured soil bacterium. RNAcentral's name for it is "bacterial SSU rRNA". It matches the Rfam family "Bacterial small subunit ribosomal RNA", at positions 26 to 377 of the family's 1533-position model. The record is from RNAcentral.
AGAGUGAACGCUGGCGGCAGGCCUAAUACAUGCAAGUCGAACGGCAGCACAGCAGAGCUUGCUCUGUGGGUGGCGAGUGGCGGACGGGUGAGGAAUACAUGGGAAUCUGUCCAGUCGUGGGGGAUAACGGUAGGGAAACUUACGCUAAUACCGCAUGCGCCCUUCGGGGGAAAGCCGGGGACCUUCGGGCCUGGCGCGAUUGGAUGAGCCCAUGUCGGAUUAGCUAGUUGGCGGGGUAAAGGCCCACCGAAGGCGACGAUCCGUAGCUGGUCUGAGAGGAUGAUCAGCCACACUGGAACUGAGACACGGUCCAGACUCCUACGGGAGCAGCAGGUAGGGAAUUAGUGGACAAGUGGGCG